UUUGAUCGCGCCCGUUCAGGUGUGCCGGGAAUCGUCCGGCACAGGGAAGCCGGUGCGGGCCCAAGCUUAUGGCCGCAAACCCAAAUCCGGCGCUGCGCCCGCAACUGUGAGCGGUGAGCGAUCCUUCAAUCGGCCACUGGGCAGCACUUGCCCGGGAAGGCGAAGGAUUGCGACGACCCGUGAGCCAGGAGACCGGCCUGAGUACGUCAUCUUCC
Molecule: non-coding RNA, 215 nt
Organism: Rhodopseudomonas palustris CGA009
Lineage: Bacteria; Pseudomonadati; Pseudomonadota; Alphaproteobacteria; Hyphomicrobiales; Nitrobacteraceae
Source: Rfam